GACGAACGCUGGCGGCAGGCUUAACACAUGCAAGUCGAGCGGCCCGCCAGGGGAGCGGCAGACGGGUGAGUAACGCGAGGGAACGUACCCAUUGGUUCAGCACAACUCCGGGAAACUGGAGCUAAUACCGGAUAAGCCCUAACGGGGAAAGAGUUAUCGCCGGAAGAUCGGCCCGCGUGUGAUUAGCUAGUUGGUGAGGUAAAGGCUCACCAAGGCGACGAGCAGUAGGUGGUCUGAGAGCAGGAACAGCGAAACUGGGACAGGGACACGGCCCAGACGCCAGGGGGAAGUAGCAGUUAGUAAUAUAUGGGAGGGGGCGCAAUCCUGCACCGCCCAGGCCGCGAGAGUGACGUACGCCUUAUAGUCGUAUAUCGCUUUUGACCAAGAAUAAAAGGACUUUAUCGGUAGAAAAAGCCCCGGCUAAUACCUU
RNAcentral lists this ribosomal RNA (430 nucleotides) under uncultured bacterium. RNAcentral's name for it is "partial 16S ribosomal RNA". It matches the Rfam family "Bacterial small subunit ribosomal RNA", at positions 28 to 506 of the family's 1533-position model. The record is from RNAcentral.